UUCCAAUCAGCUUUCCUUUUCAGUAAAUGAAUUUCCAUCUCAUCAGUAUUACAGUAUUAUACAGUAAUUCAGAAGAUGCUUCUUUCUCUUCACCCUUUGCCAAGGCAUCUGGAAAGAAACCAAAGAAAGCGGCACCGUUUUCUAAGAAGCCGUGAGCGAACGGGGUUGGUGACUCUGAGAUGGUGAAUUGGUGCCCAUCCUGCUUGCUCUGUGUCCCUGGCGUAGCUACCCUUCCUCUUCUCAGUGUCCUCUGUGCCUGGAACCCAGCCUAGGAAUGGAUGAUUCAGAUUUUUAUUAAACCAGCCUGAGUGACACAUCUUCAUAGCAUACAGAAAGAUUACUCCAUAACAAGAAAUGUCUUCUUAACAACCAGAGAUAGAGGAGAGCACACAUGUCUAUACCUCUUCAGUACAAGGGGCUUUCAUUUGUGAAUCAGGUAAAAAUAAUCCUGAUGAGGUGGCUCAGCUGGGAAAAGCAUCCACCACCAAGUCUGAACCGAAAUUAAAAUCCCAGGGUCCGAGUGGUAGAAGGAGACAACUGACUUUAUAAAGUUGUCCUCCGACUGCCACAUGUUCACUGUGGCACGUGACCCCACCCCUAGAUAAAUAGAUGACAGGUAUUUUAAGAAGUCUGUUCCACCUGGUUUUCGACAAAAAAGCUAAAAUUAUACAAUGGGAAAAUGAUAGCAUCUUCAACAAAUGGUUCUGGCAUAACUGGAUAUUGGCAUGUAGAAAUAACUGGA
Molecule: long non-coding RNA, 742 nt
Organism: Mesocricetus auratus (golden hamster)
Lineage: Eukaryota; Metazoa; Chordata; Mammalia; Rodentia; Cricetidae
Exons: 3
Source: RefSeq, a predicted model, not a curated record